This is a long non-coding RNA of Manis javanica (Malayan pangolin), 652 nucleotides long. RefSeq lists it as uncharacterized. NCBI's taxonomy places the organism in Eukaryota, Metazoa, Chordata, Mammalia, Pholidota, Manidae. The record is from RefSeq and is a predicted model, not a curated record.
AAAGAGCCUAUUGGCUCACCCUCAAGGAUGCCCUGCAGUUGUUGUUAAAGUCAUCAGAUGAAGCUAGCCUUCUCAGCUAGCCUUUAGAUUUGUCUGCUAACAGUAAAAAUCCUAUAAUAAAUCGGUAACAUAUGUUGCCAGGGAAGGAAAAGUGAUAUAAAUAAAGAGACUAGGAGACCCAAACCAAAUACAAUGUGAAAAGAAUUUAACUUUCAAUCUAUUCGUUGGUUAAUUAUCAUUUGAAAAGUAAUUUGAAAUGUGUUACUAUUAUUUGCUUAUAUUCUUCCUCAUUUUUCUUUUUUUCUCUUCAGAUUGCAUUUGUACCCAAAUAUUCUUCGUGAUUGCCUGCUUUGCGGCUUUGGGAUUCUUCAGGGAGUGGAGAACAUUCACAUGGAUUGACAUCCUACUUUUCCAUCAUCAUGUUCUGAAGUGGUCUACAUCGAACAAAAGAAAAUGACAUCCCCUUUCAACCAUCGAAUGUUAAGAUUCUCUAGUAACCGAUUGGGGGCUUGCUGGAAGUUUUACAAUUAGAGUCACACAUAUUGAAUUAUUUUCAUUCUUCCCAAACAUCAUUCUUUGAACUUUAUAAAUAUAACAAUACUGGGUUUAAAGUUUCAUGUGGCUUAUUUACAAAUAAAGGUAUCUUGAUAAA